UACAGCCAUAUCACGUAGAAACAACUGUUUUCGUCCGAUCACCGAAGUUAAGCGACUUUGGACAUGGACUCUACCUCGAUGGGUGACCGCUUGGGAAUACCAAGGGUUGCACG
Molecule: non-coding RNA, 113 nt
Organism: Acanthosepion pharaonis
Lineage: Eukaryota; Metazoa; Mollusca; Cephalopoda; Sepiida; Sepiidae
Source: the annotation of a GenBank genome assembly